ACUCAUUGAUUUUAAAAGUCUCAAGAUUUUCCUCUCUGGGAAACACAGGUGAAUUCAAGGUGCUUUGGGGGAGAUGGAAGACCAUACUCAUAGUCUUAUAUCACUAAGGUAAGUUAUCAAAACACCCCCCAAGUAUAGUAUAUAAAGUUAGUGUCUACACAUUUUGUAAAGCAAAAGCUGUUUUAAGAACCAUACUUCUUGGAUCUUUCUUGAUUAUAGUGUUUAUCACUAAACGAUACGUAUUAGCUUUGCAAAGCAAGAUGAUAUAUAUUCACUUACGUGUAGAGAGUCUUAUGAUACUUCAAUCUACUCUCUUGCUAAAUAUAUGCCAAUAUAAGCACUUAUAUAAGAUAUUUUCUUUUAACGAUCCAAAUGAUCUCAAAUUCUAGAUAUUAUUAUUCCUAUGGAUGGUUCUGUUUCUGAGAUGUCAUGGUUUUGGUUUUCAAGGUAGGGGCGAAACUUCUUCUCAAGAAGGAAAACUUUAAACAGAGAAAGAAUCAUAAUAAUUUUGAGUCUUUUGGCACAAUAUAUCCUAGAGAUAAUAGAUUGCAAGUUGCCAUAAAAUUCUGCUAGUAGACAUUGCACUACCGAUAUUCUCAUCGUCACGAUUCUUGAAAACCGACCCUCUUUGCCUAGGUAUUGAAAUGGUAAAACUUUCCCCACCUUGAGGUAAGUCUUGGUAAAAUCUUUAGCUGUGAAAAGGAUAAUCAAGAGUUCAUCAUAAGAUUAAUUGGUUGUUUAUUAGUUAUAAGAAGAUGCUUUGGUUUUUACUUUCUCACUAUGAUGGUAACAUCAGUAAAGGCUUCAUGGUUUGAUUCCAAUAUAUACAGGUCUUGAUUCUAGCCAUCAUUGAUGAGAAUUUUACCAGGAGUAGCUUACAAGGAAUCUGAAUGAAAAAGGAAGGUAAAGAGUAAAGCAUUAUAUAUUUUUGCAUGUUACAUAAUUUUCUGUUGAUAUUUAGAAUCCUUAUCCCUAAUGAUAUAGCAAGAAAACAAGAAGUAAGUAUUCUGAUUCCUCUCCUAGUGGCUUAGCUCCUUUUGCAACUUGGGAGAAGAACCCGAACCUGAAGUUGAUCACUAUAAUGGAAGUUUCUGUAGCUCAAUAUGUAUUUGAAGGAUUUUUAUUGAGGCUAGUGGUGAGAUAUUAUUAUCACCAAAAGAAUGAUCCUUUUUACAAAUUUGGAUUCGGACAAACUUUACACAAAAGUAGGAAAUGGCAUUUUAUCACCAGGAAUCCAUAAGAGCCAUUCCCAUUUGAGGGAAGAAAAAAGUAUCCACAGACACACACACAAGCCCUGGUCCUAAAUCAGCCAUAGUAGCCUAUAACAGUAGUUAGAGAUACUUCUUUAUUUUUAUUUUUUGGUUGUUUCUUGGAAUAUUAUUUGAGUAAGUUAAAGAAGUAAGGAAAAUUGGGAAUCUCCAUGGUCAGGGGUUUUGAUUGGUUGAUGAGAAUGAGAUCGAAUAUACAAGGACACAAAUAUUUAUAUACAAUGCUUAUGUAAAUCUUUUGAGACAGGGUAAAUGGAAACUAGUAUUAUUCAUAUAACUUGUUGUUCAGGUGAUGAACUUUCUAGCUAGAAUAACUUGUUUCUGUUGCUCAACUAAAAAGCUUGUGUUCUUUUCUUCGGUUUACAAUACUUCUGAAUUGUGUCUCUGAUCAUAUACUAAACAAGAUCUUAAACUCAUUACUACAACUACAAGAUGUAUAAGUCGUGAUCGAAAAUAAAGAAAACAUUAGGACAACAAAGGACUGAAGUAGGC
RNAcentral lists this long non-coding RNA (1760 nucleotides) under Capsella grandiflora. RNAcentral describes it as "long non-coding RNA (CGRA_LNC000385)". Lineage: Eukaryota; Viridiplantae; Streptophyta; Magnoliopsida; Brassicales; Brassicaceae. The record is from RNAcentral.